RNAcentral lists this ribosomal RNA (1330 nucleotides) under Escherichia coli. RNAcentral's name for it is "partial 23S ribosomal RNA". It matches the Rfam family "Bacterial large subunit ribosomal RNA", at positions 824 to 2136 of the family's 2925-position model. Lineage: Bacteria; Pseudomonadati; Pseudomonadota; Gammaproteobacteria; Enterobacterales; Enterobacteriaceae. The record is from RNAcentral.
AAAGGCCAAUCAAACCGGGAGAUAGCUGGUUCUCCCCGAAAGCUAUUUAGGUAGCGCCUCGUGAAUUCAUCUCCGGGGGUAGAGCACUGUUUCGGCAAGGGGGUCAUCCCGACUUACCAACCCGAUGCAAACUGCGAAUACCGGAGAAUGUUAUCACGGGAGACACACGGCGGGUGCUAACGUCCGUCGUGAAGAGGGAAACAACCCAGACCGCCAGCUAAGGUCCCAAAGUCAUGGUUAAGUGGGAAACGAUGUGGGAAGGCCCAGACAGCCAGGAUGUUGGCUUAGAAGCAGCCAUCAUUUAAAGAAAGCGUAAUAGCUCACUGGUCGAGUCGGCCUGCGCGGAAGAUGUAACGGGGCUAAACCAUGCACCGAAGCUGCGGCAGCGACGCUGAUGCGUUGUUGGGUAGGGGAGCGUUCUGUAAGCCUGUGAAGGUGUGCUGUGAGGCAUGCUGGAGGUAUCAGAAGUGCGAAUGCUGACAUAAGUAACGAUAAAGCGGGUGAAAAGCCCGCUCGCCGGAAGACCAAGGGUUCCUGUCCAACGUUAAUCGGGGCAGGGUGAGUCGACCCCUAAGGCGAGGCCGAAAGGCGUAGUCGAUGGGAAACAGGUUAAUAUUCCUGUACUUGGUGUUACUGCGAAGGGGGGACGGAGAAGGCUAUGUUGGCCGGGCGACGGUUGUCCCGGUUUAAGCGUGUAGGCUGGUUUUCCAGGCAAAUCCGGAAAAUCAAGGCUGAGGCGUGAUGACGAGGCACUACGGUGCUGAAGCAACAAAUGCCCUGCUUCCAGGAAAAGCCUCUAAGCAUCAGGUAACAUCAAAUCGUACCCCAAACCGACACAGGUGGUCAGGUAGAGAAUACCAAGGCGCUUGAGAGAACUCGGGUGAAGGAACUAGGCAAAAUGGUGCCGUAACUUCGGGAGAAGGCACGCUGAUAUGUAGGUGAAGUCCCUCGCGGAUGGAGCUGAAAUCAGUCGAAGAUACCAGCUGGCUGCAACUGUUUAUUAAAAACACAGCACUGUGCAAACACGAAAGUGGACGUAUACGGUGUGACGCCUGCCCGGUGCCGGAAGGUUAAUUGAUGGGGUUAGCGCAAGCGAAGCUCUUGAUCGAAGCCCCGGUAAACGGCGGCCGUAACUAUAACGGUCCUAAGGUAGCGAAAUUCCUUGUCGGGUAAGUUCCGACCUGCACGAAUGGCGUAAUGAUGGCCAGGCUGUCUCCACCCGAGACUCAGUGAAAUUGAACUCGCUGUGAAGAUGCAGUGUACCCGCGGCAAGACGGAAAGACCCCGUGAACCUUUACUAUAGCUUGACACUGAACAUUGAGCCUUGAUG